UACGGGGGGGGCAAGCGUUGUUCGGAAUUACUGGGCGUAAAGGGCUCGUAGGUGGCCAACUAAGUCAGACGUGAAAUCCCCAGGCUUAACCUGGGAACUGCGUCUGAUACUGGAUGGCUUGAAUUCGGGAGAGGGAUGCGGAAUUCCAGGUGUAGCGGUGAAAUGCGUAGAUAUCUGGAGGAACACCGGUGGCGAAGGCGGCAUCCUGGACCGAUACUGACGCUGAGGAGCGAAAGCCAGGGGAGCAAACGGG
Molecule: ribosomal RNA, 253 nt
Filed under: uncultured bacterium
Lineage: Bacteria
Description: partial 16S ribosomal RNA
Rfam family: Bacterial small subunit ribosomal RNA
Source: RNAcentral